AACGAACGCUGGCGGCAGGCCUAACACAUGCAAGUCGAGCGAGGACUUCGGUCCUAGCGGCGGACGGGUGAGUAACGCGUGGGAACGUUCCCUUUGCUUCGGAAUAGCUCUGGGAAACUGGGAGUAAUACCGGAUGAGCCCUUUGGGGGAAAGAUUUAUCGGCGUAGGAUCGGCCCUCGUUGGAUUAGGUAGUUGGUGGGGUAAUGGCCUACCAAGCCGACGAUCCAUAGCUGGUUUGAGAGGAUGAUCAGCCACACUGGGACUGAGACACGGCCCAGACUCCUACGGGAGGCAGCAGUGGGGAAUGUUAGAAAAUGGGGGAAACCCUGAUCUAGCCAUGCCGCGUGAGCGAUGAAGGCCUUAGGGUUGUAAAGCUCUUUCAGCUGGGAAGAUAAUGACGGUACCAGCAGAAGAAGCCCCGGCUAACUCUGUG
This 433-nucleotide ribosomal RNA is filed under the name uncultured bacterium. Its description in RNAcentral is "partial 16S ribosomal RNA". It matches the Rfam family "Bacterial small subunit ribosomal RNA", at positions 29 to 507 of the family's 1533-position model. The record is from RNAcentral.